RNAcentral lists this ribosomal RNA (492 nucleotides) under uncultured bacterium. RNAcentral describes it as "partial 16S ribosomal RNA". It matches the Rfam family "Bacterial small subunit ribosomal RNA", at positions 29 to 507 of the family's 1533-position model. The record is from RNAcentral.
AGUGAACGCUGGCGGUAGGCCUAACACAUGCAAGUCGAACGGCAGCACUGUAAGAGCUUGCUCUUACGGGUGGCGAGUGGCGGACGGGUGAGGAAUACAUCGGAAUCUACUUUUUCGUGGGGGAUAACGUAGGGAAACUUACGCCAAUACCGCAUACGACCUACGGGUGAAAGCAGGGGAUCUUCGGACCUUGCGCGAUUGAAUGAGCCGAUGUCGGAUUAGCUAGUUGGCGGGGUAAAGGCCCACCAAGGCGACGAUCCGUAGCUGGUCUGAGAGGAUGAUCAGCCACACUGGAACUGAGACACGGUCCAGACUCCUACGGGAGGCAGCAGUGGGGAAUAUUGGACAAAGGGCGCAAGCCUGAUCCAGCCAUACCGCGUGGGUGAAGAAGGCCUUCGGGUUGUAAAGCCCUUUUGUUGGGAAAGAAAAGCAGCAGGUUAAUACCCCGCUGUUCUGACGGUACCCAAAGAAUAAGCACCGGCUAACUUCGUG